AACAAAACAAAAAAAAGAAAAAAAACGAAGGAAGAAAUACCAAUACACAAAUGUUUAUGUUUACACUUUUUUUUCCCUCUCC
Molecule: non-coding RNA, 82 nt
Filed under: Platyophrya macrostoma
Lineage: Eukaryota; Ciliophora; Colpodea; Cyrtolophosidida; Platyophryidae
Source: RNAcentral